The sequence is a regulatory RNA element, 100 nucleotides long. It matches the Rfam family "23S methyl RNA motif". The record is from Rfam.
AAUUCGGGGCCUUUUAUCAGAUGCUGGUUUGAUAAAAGGAUUCGAUAUCUGCGUACUAACGUAUUUUCUUGCUGCGAGAGCCGAGAGAAUGCGUUUUUUU